UACGUAGGGGGCGAGCGUUGUCCGGAUUUAUUGGGCGUAAAGAGCUCGUAGGCGGUUCGAUAAGUCGGACGUGAAAUCUCCACGCUCAACGUGGAGGGGCCGUUCGAUACUGUCGUGACUCGAGUCCGGUAGGGGAGUGUGGAAUUCCCGGUGUAGCGGUGAAAUGCGCAGAGAUCGGGAGGAACACCCGUAGCGAAGGCGGCACUCUGUGCCGGUACUGACGCUGAGGAGCGAAAGCGUGGGGAGCAAACAGG
This 254-nucleotide ribosomal RNA is filed under the name uncultured bacterium. RNAcentral's name for it is "partial 16S ribosomal RNA". It matches the Rfam family "Bacterial small subunit ribosomal RNA", at positions 524 to 776 of the family's 1533-position model. The record is from RNAcentral.